Molecule: ribosomal RNA, 841 nt
Filed under: Streptomyces sp.
Lineage: Bacteria; Bacillati; Actinomycetota; Actinomycetes; Kitasatosporales; Streptomycetaceae
Description: bacterial SSU rRNA
Rfam family: Bacterial small subunit ribosomal RNA
Source: RNAcentral
UGCAGUCGACGAUGAAGCCCUUCGGGGUGGAUUAGUGGCGAACGGGUGAGUAACACGUGGGCAAUCUGCCCUUCACUCUGGGACAAGCCCUGGAAACGGGGUCUAAUACCGGAUAACACCGGCCUCUGCAUGGGGGCUGGUUAAAAGCUCCGGCGGUGAAGGAUGAGCCCGCGGCCUAUCAGCUUGUUGGUGGGGUAAUGGCCUACCAAGGCGACGACGGGUAGCCGGCCUGAGAGGGCGACCGGCCACACUGGGACUGAGACACGGCCCAGACUCCUACGGGAGGCAGCAGUGGGGAAUAUUGCACAAUGGGCGAAAGCCUGAUGCAGCGACGCCGCGUGAGGGAUGACGGCCUUCGGGUUGUAAACCUCUUUCAGCAGGGAAGAAGCGAAAGUGACGGUACCUGCAGAAGAAGCGCCGGCUAACUACGUGCCAGCAGCCGCGGUAAUACGUAGGGCGCAAGCGUUGUCCGGAAUUAUUGGGCGUAAAGAGCUCGUAGGCGGCUUGUCACGUCGGGUGUGAAAGCCCGGGGCUUAACCCCGGGUCUGCAUCCGAUACGGGCAGGCUAGAGUGUGGUAGGGGAGAUCGGAAUUCCUGGUGUAGCGGUGAAAUGCGCAGAUAUCAGGAGGAACACCGGUGGCGAAGGCGGAUCUCUGGGCCAUUACUGACGCUGAGGAGCGAAAGCGUGGGGAGCGAACAGGAUUAGAUACCCUGGUAGUCCACGCCGUAAACGUUGGGAACUAGGUGUUGGCGACAUUCCACGUCGUCGGUGCCGCAGCUAACGCAUUAAGUUCCCCGCCUGGGGAGUACGGCCGCAAGGCUAAAACUCAAAGGAAUUGAC